GUGGGGAAUAUUGCACAAUGGGGGAAACCCUGAUGCAGCCAUGCCGCGUGUGUGAAGAAGGCCUUCGGGUUGUAAAGCACUUUCAGCGAGGAGGAAAGGUCAGUAGCUAAUAUCUGCCGGCUGUGACGUUACUCGCAGAAGAAGCACCGGCUAACUCCGUGCCAGCAGCCGCGGUAAUACGGAGGGUGCAAGCGUUAAUCGGAAUUACUGGGCGUAAAGCGCACGCAGGCGGUUGGAUAAGUUAGAUGUGAAAGCCCCGGGCUCAACCUGGGAAUUGCAUUUAAAACUGUCCAGCUAGAGUCUUGUAGAGGGGGGUAGAAUUCCAGGUGUAGCGGUGAAAUGCGUAGAGAUCUGGAGGAAUACCGGUGGCGAAGGCGGCCCCCUGGACAAAGACUGACGCUCAGGUGCGAAAGCGUGGGGAGCAAACAGGAUUAGAUACCCGAGUAGUCC
Molecule: ribosomal RNA, 450 nt
Filed under: uncultured bacterium
Lineage: Bacteria
Description: partial 16S ribosomal RNA
Rfam family: Bacterial small subunit ribosomal RNA
Source: RNAcentral